GAUUAACGCUAGCGGCAGGCCUAAUACAUGCAAGUCGAGGGGUAACAGGGUAGCAAUACCGCUGACGACCGGCGCACGGGUGAGUAACACGUAUGCAACCUACCUAUAACUGGGGAAUAGCCUUCCGAAAGGAAGAUUAACACCGCAUAACAUCACGAGACGGCAUCGUCUUGUGAUCAAACCUCCGGGGGUUAUAGAUGGGCAUGCGUAACAUUAGCUAGUUGGUGAGGAACGGCUCACCAAGGCGACGAUGUUUAGGGGGUCUGAGAGGAUGAUCCCCACACUGGUACUGAGACACGGACCAGACUCCUACGGGAGGGCAGCAGUAAGGAAUAUUGGUACAAUGGGGGCGAACCCUCGAUCCAGCCAUGCCGCGUGAAGGAUGAAGGCG
RNAcentral lists this ribosomal RNA (391 nucleotides) under uncultured bacterium. RNAcentral describes it as "bacterial SSU rRNA". It matches the Rfam family "Bacterial small subunit ribosomal RNA", at positions 28 to 416 of the family's 1533-position model. The record is from RNAcentral.